Molecule: ribosomal RNA, 336 nt
Filed under: Diclidurus scutatus (lesser ghost bat)
Lineage: Eukaryota; Metazoa; Chordata; Mammalia; Chiroptera; Emballonuridae
Description: partial 12S ribosomal RNA
Rfam family: Bacterial small subunit ribosomal RNA
Source: RNAcentral
AACCCAAACUAAUAGAUUCCGGCGUAAAGCGUGGAUAAGACUACACCCAACUAGAGUUAAACUCUAACUAAGCUGUAAAAAGCCCUAGUUACUGUAAAAUACCCCACGAAAGUGACCCUAUGAAUCUGAACCCACGACAGCUAAGACCCAAACUGGGAUUAGAUACCCCACUAUGCUCAGCCUUAAACCUAGGAGGUCUCACUAACAAGACUGCUCGCCAGAGUACUACUAGCUAAAGCUUAAAACUCAAAGGACUUGGCGGUGCUUUAUAUCCAUCUAGAGGAGCCUGUUCUAUAAUCGAUAAACCCCGCUAAACCUCACCAACCCUUGCUAAGU